AUAAAAUCCAAUAAAUGGUCCAUAUAUUAGUUAAAUCCAUUCCAAUGCCCUAGAUUUGAUCCUAGCUAAUUUUCCCAAGAGAUAUUUGACCAUUUAGCACCUUAAAACCCAUCAACCAUGAGUUCACGGCCGUGAACUCAUGUGGUUAUAGUCAUUAGGGCCGUAAACCCUCUUGUGAGUUUACUCUUGGGGAGUAAACUCCAUAUCCAAGCCUUAUAAGUCCGUAGAUGUCACCCGGGUCACUCCAAACACUUAAUUUGAAGUGUUUUCGCGUCUUGGAGUGUAAAAUCUUAUCUAAUUAGUAAAUUAAAGUCUAAUUAGAUACAUUUGUGUAUCAUUCCAUAUUACAUAGGAACCUCGCACGAUAUCAAGCCUCGAACUGACACUUAGCAUCCUAGACGACACGUUCUUCGACUGGUGAGUUCAUACCCCUACCCUUUUUCCGUGUUUUUCAAUGUUUUCAGGGAGGGGAAUACAAGCAAACUAUAAAUGUUUUCAAAAUCUAAAACUGAUAUAUUUCUAUAAAUAUCUGGCUAACCUUUAGAUGUCUUUACUCUUAUGUAUUAUGCUGAGCAUAAGGGAUGUUUUAUCGAUUAUAACUACAUUGAUUUCAGUAAAGGAAACAAUCAAAUCAAUCAAAUUAUUAUGGGAAUAAUUUGGGAUCUUUAGUUCUUGUUCAAUGAGUUCAGAUUUAUGUAAAGUAUUUAGAUAAACUAUGUCUGAUUUAGUUUAUCUCUGUUUAUUGUAAAGUAUUAUGUCGGAUAGUUUCUUUGUAUUAAACUGUUUUUACCGUAUUAUGUUCCAAAGUGAUUAGUAUGUUUUGAUAUCAUCCGAGAACACUGUGAAUAAUUUAGUACUAGCUUGUGAGAUUCGUCAUUACCCUUUGGGUUAUCAGUAAAUCCUCCCCGGAAGUGUAACCAGAGUCUCCUGGAGGGAGAGCGUGGAAUUUGUGAAUAUAUCUAUUCGGGACUGACAAUCCCACACCUUAACUGCUAGCUACAGUUUGGUGGGCACGCCUGGGGUGACAAAUUCUAGAUAUCGUUCGACGUCUGACGAACGUCAAGGAGGUCUCGGUGUCGCAUCAGCAUGGUUACCCGACUCACAAUACGCAUUAAUAUAAGUUUAUUCACGGAUUUGAUUUUAUAUCUAUUUUCAAACUAUAGUAUCUAUAUCUAGUGUGGGAUGUUAGUCCCAUGGUUUUCAAUCUAUAUCUAGUGCGGGAUGUUAGUCCCAUGGUUUUCAAUCUAUAUCUAGUGCGGGAUGUAUUUCCCAUGACUUUUAAUCUAUAGUUUUUGUGUAUUAAAACUAUGUUAUAUCUAGUGCGGGAUAUUAAUCCCAUGGUUUUAAAAUCUAUAUCUAGUGCGGGAUCUUAAUCCCAUGGUUUUGAAUCUAUAUCUAGUGCGGGAUAUUAAUCCCAUGGUUUUGAAAUCUAUAUCUAGUGCGGGAUAUUAAUUCCAUGGUUUGAAAUCUAUAUCUAGUGCGGGAUCUUAAUUCCAUGGUUUUGAAUUUAUAUCUAGUACGGGAUAGUAUUCCCAUGGUUUUCAAUCAAUAUUUUUAUGUAUUAAAAAUAUCUACUGUUAUACUGGAUGAUAAUUCCCAGUGGUUUUUCAAUAUAUAGUUUUAUGUAUUAAACUAUACAGUGUGGUAUUUAACUAAACUUUACUUUUAGGAAAAUAAGGGUUUUUCCUGGGAUAACAAACUGUACAUAACCGGAUCGUAUGAAAAUCAGAUAACUAAACUAUACUUAUAAGAAAAUAUGGGGUUUUCUUGGAUAACGAACUUUUCGGAAAACCAAAGGAAACUUGUACAUUUUCAGAAAACAAACCUCUUAUGAACUCACCAGCUUUAUGCUGAUUUUCAAACUGUUUGUAUUCUCAGGUCCACGUUAGACAGGUACCCCGCAAUCCUUUUGGCGAAGACGGAGUGCAUAGAAGACACGUCUUUACACUUGUCCAUAUGAUAUGUAUAUGUAUAACACAUGUAACUCUUGUCUUAAAGAAAAUGUAAAUGAGUCUAUGUAAUGUAAAGUUUUGUGUUUACUAUGCUUACUAUGUGCAUUGGAUUUGAUACUCAACGUGGAGUCCGCCACGAAAAUGUUUCCGCCUUCGGUUUUUGGGGUGUGACAGAUUGGUAUCAGAGCCUUUGUUUAUAGUGAACUAGUAUACCAAACCUUACAUGUUAUAAGACUAUAAACAUGAAGGGGCCUAAGUGCUCUGAACUAAAAGUAUACUUCAAAGUAUAAGUAUUUUCAAAAGUAUACAAGUAUACCUAGCCGUCAAAAUCCGUAACUACAAAUAGAACAAAACAUAAGUAAAUGGGUGUUGUACGUUGCGGUUAAACCUGGGCAGUUAUGUAGUCGUGUCUAGGGUCAAUAUAGCCUGGCCAACUAUAUUCAUUCGAGACACCGCCAACAUGUGCUUGUGAGUGACUGUGGUAUGCGGCAUGCCUAAAACUUACCCAAAUACCACAAACAUCGAGCCAGUGUCGUAGCGAACCAUGAAAUACUAUGGGAGUAUUUCUCGAGCCAAUCCUUUGUAGAAAUCCUCAUUCAUGCGUUAUUCCUUGAUCAUUCCUUUAGCGAUAAUUUAUCUGCUUGAUAACUCUUUCUUGCUUUAUCGCUUAUUCAGAAUAUGUACCUGUGAUAUCUCUUGACUCAAUUCAGAGGACUUACCAUCCUCUCUUUCCUGAUCUUAUUGGAUCAAGAUGCCUCCAAGAAAGAGACCCAGCUCAAAGACCAACAACCCUCCACCACCACCUCCUUCUGAAUUCGACCCUGUGAUGCUCCAGGCAGCGGUUAAUGCCGUAGUGGCAGCUGCUAUGUCUCAAAGGAACUCCGGUGGUUCCGGUGGUUCGGGAGGUGGUACCCAAACCCAAAACCAAGAAGGCAGUCAGGGACACCGAAAAGAGGAUUCCUAUAAAGAUUUCAUGAACGCGAAACCCACGUCCUUUGAUGGCACUGGAGGUGUCAUUUCCCUCACCCGAUGGUUCGAGAAAAUCGAAUCAAUCUUUGAAAUAUGUGCCUGUUUGGAAUCUGAAAAAGUAAAGUUUGCCGCCUGCACCUUCAUUGACAAAGCCCUAACUUGGUGGAACGGCCGAGUCAAAUCCUUAACUCUACCUGUAGCAAAUGCUAUGGGUUGGGAAGUUAUGAAGGAGCUUCUGCGUGUGGAGUACUGCCCUCGGGGCGAAAUGCAGAAACUGGAGCAUGAACUUUGGAACCUGAAGACGAAGGGUUUCGAUAUCGUCGCCUAUACCUCUAGAUUCGAUGACUUGGCGCUGCUCUAUCCGGGAAUGGUUACCCCAGAGAGUAAAAAGAUUGAGAGGUUCAUCUGGGUGUUGACCCAGCCAAUCAAAGGAAAUGUCUUGGCUGCGAAGCCAGACACCUAUGACAACGCUAAAUGUAUGGCGCAAACCCUGAUCGAUCACGAAGACAACCCCGAUGAGGAGACUACCACUCCUGAGCCAGUCGAAAGUAGAGGUGGAAGUAAAAAGAAAUUUUGGACCAAACGGAAGGCCCAAGGAUCACAAGGAUCCUCUAAGAAACAGCAAACGGUAGCAGUCCACGCUGCUACUGCCCCUGUUGUUGUUUCUGCUGUCGGAUCCACGGUUCAGACUCCUACCAGUGGAUACACCGGUACCUUCCUUGGUGCAACAAGUGCAGCUACCAUCACCGUACUCCUGGGCCAUGUCGUGAACGUCUCUACAACAACUGUGGCAAGAAGGGCAACCUUGCUCGAAACUGCAGAAAACCAUCCCAAUCAACCAACCAAUCAUCCGGAGCAGGCGUCGGCCAGGCCUGCUAUAAUUGUGGUGAUGUUGGACACUUCAAGAGGAACUGCCCCAAGGAAGCAACAACUGGAAACACUGGAAGAAUUCUAGCAAUAGGACGAAAGGAGACAACCGCUGAUCCCACCGUCGCCGCAGGUAUAUUCUUCCUCGACAACUCUUAUGCCUGCAAUCCUUUUCGAUUUUAGGGUUGAAAAGAAAAAUCUGUUAGCUAUUCAUUCGUACAUCUUCUUAAUCUUAGCCCUCCGUUAGUAAAUGAAACAUUCACCAUCGAGGCGACUAACAGUGGGAAAGAGAACUUUAUCGAUACAUCAGUAGGUUGUACCUGUACUCUGAACGACCAUUCCUCAUCCAUUGAUCUUAUGCCAGUUUCCAUAAACAGUUUUGAUGCUAUCGGUGGCAUGGAAUGGUUGAGUCCUAAUCGUGCUAAUACCCUUGUAUUGAAAAAUUCAUCCGUCCCAAUCUCCUCUCUGGUCAGACCCUCAUGAUCAACAGCGAUGAAUUCGGUUCCAACCUUCAUAUCAUUUCGUGCACCAAGACUCAAGAGUUUUCCUCGAAAAGAGUGCUAUGCAUUCCUAGCCUAUGUGAACCGCAAGAAAAAGGGAGUUAGAGACCUCGAGAACAUCCCCGAAACCUGUGAUUUUCUUGAUGUAUUUCCUGUAUAGCUUCCGGGAAUUCUUUCAGAACGUCAGAUUGAAUUUCGCAUCCGCAUCGCUUAGCUCCAGCAGAAAUGCAGGAGAUAUCUAGUCAGCUUGAUAAGUUGACCAUCAAAACCGAUAUCCUCUUUCCUCGAAUACAUAACCUUUUUGAUCCACUUCAGGGGACCAGCCACUUCUCAAAGAUAAACUUUAGGUCAAGGUAUCAUCAGCUACAAAUCCAUGAGAAUAAUGUUUCUUAGACAGUAUGCAGGACUCGAUAUGGUCACUAUAAGUUCGUAGUGAUGCCCAUCGGUCAAACCAUUUUCCUUGGUCAUGUAGAAGACGAUGAAGUCAUACGUAUGGAAUCCUCCUAAGAUCAAAGCAACAGAGAAUUAGUCGGCACCAAAGAUACCCACAGAAAACCCGUAAAUUCUUGGGUCUCGCUGGCUACUAUUACAGGUUCAUCCAGAAUAUUUCCUGAAUCGCCAAAACCCUAACCAUUCCGACACAGAAGGAUGUACCCUCUUAUUGGAAGUCUUACUCUAGAAGGACAUGGAACGCCUUGGAAAGCGUAGAAAACUUUACUCGUGCUACAUUAGACCCUUCGAGAUCCUCGUAAGGAUCGAUUCCAUAACCUUCAAACUCCAAAUACCUUCAGAACAUAGCAACAUCCAUCCGGUAUUCCACGUCUUUAUUCAUAAGAAGUGCCGACCCAACGAAACCCUAGUAAUCCCUUUGAUGAGACCGAAAUCAACGAAAGUUUGAACCCUAUGGAAGAACCAAACGAAAUCAUAGAUUGAAAGGUUAAACGUACGAAACAAAGCCGCAUCCCAGUAGCGAGGGUUUGUUGGAAUGUCAAGCGGAGACCCGAUUCCACUUAGGAGCGUGAAUACCCGAAGCAGUAGAUUCAUCCACAUCUCUCUUUUCAAUUCAUGAACCGUAUCCUAAUCUUUUAAUUUCGGGACGAAAUUCCCUCUAACGGGGGGAUAAUGUGACAACCCGAAGUUUGUCCAUCGUCGUAACCCAUUUCGUCCGUAAAACCCAUCUUUAAUGAUUCAUUUCGAUUUCGUUUUUGGGCUAAGUUAUUUAAAUUUAUAUGUUUAUUAUAACCUCAUGAGUGUCCAAACUCCUUAGAAACUCAUGUAAACGGCCCAAAUUAUUUAUUUGAAAAUUUUUAGAAUCAUUCCCCCCGGGUUACGAUAACUUUAUCGGGUGCGACCAAAAGCAUCGUAUAACGUCAGUAUCGGGUAGAAUUCCACCGUGUCCAAAACUUAGAACAUAUUUAAAGCUCGAAAGACUUCAUUUUGAAGUUUUACACUCUCUCACUACUCUCUCUCUAACCUCUCUCCUCAAACCAAAGAUUUAGGUCCAAAAAUCAUCCAAAACAAGCUUCAAAUCAUCAAGGUAACUAUCCUAGCUCCUAGUAUAACACCUUUGGCCUUCAAAUUCGUGAAUUAUAUGAGAAAUAGGACCAUAAACAUAUGUUUACGGCCCUGGAACAUCCUUAGGCCGUGAACACAUGUAAAUGGGGUUUUUGAGCCAUAAAACCCUUCCAAACCUCAUUUGGGGCUUAGAUAUGACUUAAGGGCUUAUCAAAUCGGACUUAGAACACCUUGGACAUCAUUUUUGAGGAGUAAACAUGAGUUUACUGCCCAAGAACAUGCUUGGGCCGUAAACUCAUAUUCAUGGGGAGUAAACUCAAAUCCAAGUGUUUAAAUGCCACUUAAACACACCAAUAGCCUUGGAUUAAAUUCUAGAACCAACCAGAAUCGAUUUAAGGGCCUUAAACAUGCUAGAACAACCCCCAUAGGGUCUUACGGCCAUAAACCCCCCAAGAAUGGGUUCUUAGUCCGUAAACUCCUAAAACAUGGUCAAAAGGUGCCUUAAACUCAUUCCAUGGCUUGUAGAAUUAACUAGAAACUCUUGUAAAGACCUAGGACCACCAAAGCAUCAAAGGAAUGUGUUUGGGGGAGUUUACGGCCGUGAACUCCUAGUUUACUACCAUAAAAUCCAAUAAAUGGUCCAUAUAUUAGUUAAAUCCAUUCCAAUGCCCUAGAUUUGAUCCUAGCUAAUUUUCCCAAGAGAUAUUUGACCAUUUAGCACCUUAAAACCAUUCAACCAUGAGUUCACGGCCGUGAAAUCAUGUGGUUAUAGUCAUUAGGGCCGUAAACCCUCUUGUGAGUUUACUCUUGGGGAGUAAACUCCAUAUCCAAGCCUUAUAAGUCCGUAGAUGUCACCCGGGUCACUCCAAACACUUAAUUUGAAGUGUUUUCGCGUCUUGGAGUGUAAAAUCUUAUCUAAUUAGUAAAUUAAAGUCUAAUUAGAUACAUUUGUGUAUCAUUCCAUAUUACAUAGGAACCUCUCGCGUUAUCAAGCCUCG
RNAcentral lists this long non-coding RNA (6801 nucleotides) under Lactuca sativa (garden lettuce). Its description in RNAcentral is "long non-coding RNA (LSAT_LNC007530)". The record is from RNAcentral. Lineage: Eukaryota; Viridiplantae; Streptophyta; Magnoliopsida; Asterales; Asteraceae.